GCCUGUGUGGUGUAGUGGUUUGAGUGUUGGACUAUGACUCUGGAGACCAGGGUUCAAAUCUCAACUCAGCCA
This is a non-coding RNA of Phrynosoma platyrhinos (Desert horned lizard), 72 nucleotides long. NCBI's taxonomy places the organism in Eukaryota, Metazoa, Chordata, Lepidosauria, Squamata, Phrynosomatidae. The record is from the annotation of a GenBank genome assembly.